GGCAGUUUUUUCGACGAUGGAGGUAAAGGAGGAUGCGUGACGUCGUCGAGUUUCAAAUAAACAUAAAAUAUAUAUGUGAUUAUAUUGUUAAUAGUAACAAUAAUUAUUUAUAAAGAGUGUCAAAGUGUACUACUUAAUAAUAUAUUAAAUUACAAGCUAGGAUACAACAGAGUGGUUCCAUGGAAGGUACACUGGAAGAACCAGUGGUCAAAGACCCGUCUUGUGACAGUGAUGUAGCCAAAGAUCAAGUUAUUCCAAACGGUAUCAAUGGAAACUAUGAUGACAAUGAGAAGCAUGACGACAUCGACGACAUGACAUCAAACAAAAUGGAUGCUGACGCAGGUAAUAACGAUGAUGACGCCGGUGGUGGUGGAGGUGAAGUAAUAGAAGAUGAAGAAGAAGAAGACGAUCCAGAUAAUGAUGACUAUCAUGGCAACAAAGAUACUGAAUUAGUUGAGCAUGAGGUUGAACAUGACGUUGGAGAAGAAAAUUUCGAGGAAGAAAACCCCGAAGAAAAUCGGGAUGAAGAGGAGGAAGAAGAGGAUGAGGGUGAUGAAGCUAAAAAGUGUGAUGAUGAAGAGGUGAUUGAGGGAGAGCUUGAGGAAAACAAAGAGUACGAAACUAUGGACGUCGACAAUCAGGAUAAUUCAGAUGUCGAGUGUCUUGAUGAAGACAACGCUCCAGAAAAUCUCAUGGAGGUGGAUGUUGAUCAUGAAAUGAAUGAUGAUGUCGAGGGUGACAAACAGGAAGACGAUAACCAGGACGAGCAUGUACAAGACAGCGACGGUAUUCAGGAAAUUGAUAAUGUCCAGAUUAUUGACGACGAGCAGAAUGAGGAAGACGAUGACGUGAGAGCUGUUUCCGAGAGCAGCGAUGUUCAGCAACUUAAUGACAGUAUUGUUUCUGUUUCAAGCACUGGAUCAGAUUUGAAAAUUUGUGAAGAGAAUGGCAGCAUUGGGAGUCCGGAUAUCGAAGAGAUAACAGACCCCAAAAGCAAUGGCCCCAGCAAGAAUAAUUUAGAGCGCACACCGGUAAAAGAGUCGAAGCCGAAAAAGGCGCGUAAACAAAUAGAUUUGAGCAACAUAACUCCUCGGCGCAGUUCUCGCAAUAUUAAGCGCACGAGUUAUAUCGAAAAGGAGCCCGAGGAGGAGGUCGAGGUCGACAACUCCUCGGACAUCGAGGAAAUAAAGCCAGAGGAUCCUCUUGCGUGUAUCGAUAGUAGUGUUAGUAUUAGCUUGACUAGUAGUAGUAGUAAUAACCAUAAUAAUAAAGAUAAAGAAAAUUCAAAAUUAAAGUCGCCUAUUAAAUCAAGCAAGACGACGAUCGUUGUCAACGACACUAAACGUCUUGUUGAAAUAGCCGCCAGCAGCAACAAAUCUUCUAAAGGAGGCGGCAAAAAAGAGCCGACUUUGGUUAUUAUUGACACUAACUCUAUUCUCUCCGGACGUGGAGGAGUUCCUAUUGGUAGCAGCCACAGUUCCAGCAGCUCCAGUAAGACUUCUCACCACCAUUCGCUAAACACUUCUGGAUUCUCAGUACUGCCAGUUAAUUUGAGCACCACCCAGACAAUGUACCCAAAUAUGCGGACGACAAUAACUCCAGUGCCGAUGACCUCCAAAACAACUGGACACCCGAGAAUACCCAGCAGUAUAACAGCUGUUCCUACGACAGUCACCUCUGUGUCGGGUUCCACGUCGGCCUCGGCCUCUCAAAUCCUCCCGACAUUAACUGACGACAUGUUUGUCGUAGAAGCGCCGUCCUUUAUCGUCCCUUAUGUAUACGAGAAGCCCCCGAUAAAGCCGCUCAAGGAGUUUGUCACCAAGCUGGAGAAGUGCAUCGAGGAGGUAGAUCGCGAGGAGAAGGCAGCAAAGGCCGCGAAGAAGGAAGCCAAGAAAGCUGAAGGAAAUCGCGACUCUUCAUCAGAGUCCGGCAAGUACGACAGUGACGACGGGGGCAGUGUUAAAAGCGUGUCCAGCAGGAAAGAAGGCGGCAGCAAUGCCAACGAUUCAAUUGAGUGUCUGGGCGAGACUAAACCAUUUGAAGAUAAAAAUAAAAUGCUGACUUACUUUGAUUUACCUCUGGGUAAAUUUUUCAUGCAAAUUGGGGUCAAUCUUGUCCAAGAGUUUGUCCAGACGGAUUUGCUGCGCUCGCAAAAGCGUAGGCAGGGCAAGACCAACCCUUCUGCGGAGACCCAGAUGGCAAUUAAUUCGCUGAUUAAGAAUCUAGAGUUUAGUAAAGAAAACAAUGAACCAUUCCACUUAGACAUGAAAAAGUGCGAGUUUUGUAAUUUUAAAACAGAGUCUGCCUUGGUCAUGCAGCACCACUUGGAGACACCUCACAUGCGGAACUACGUGUAUAAAUGUAAUUUCUGUCCUUUGGAGGUGCGCAGCCCCCAUGACAUUCUCUACCACAUGGAAGCCGAGCACAACACGCGUGGAAGACUCGAGCGCGGCCCGGCCUUCCACCAGUGCCCCAAUUGUCCCUUCGAAGACAACCAAAAGGGCAAACUGACGCGGCAUAUUCUUGCAUGUGCCAAGAAGUUCAGGCCAGAACGUAACCUCGAGCCCUCUACUGACUGGGAACCCCCGGCGAAGAUACCCAGACUGAACCGCUCGAGACAAAUCAAUCCUAUGAACACCAACGCAGCUCUGGCGUUGGCUAUGAGCGCUAAAGGACAGCAGCCCUUGUUACCCAAGUUGUUACCCGCUCCGGUGUCCGGCCGUGGCCGAGGACGACCACCCAUGCAGCCUAGGUACUCUGAUAUCAAGUCGCUGAGACCCGGCGGCACGCCCGGGCGACAAGAUAAUGUCACUGGAAUGAUGUACCGGCCGACGUCAUCUGGGCUCUUGGUACCCACUUCUUAUCAAUUCGGUAGCAAUCAAGUAUUCCAGAAUUCGUCAACGUGUGUUAAAAAUCCAGCGGCUAAGUUGUUGAGUCAGCCGAGUAUAUCGAUAACACCGUUGCCUCGCACUACUCAAGCACCUAUUUCAAGCUCUGGAUCACCAUCUAAAGCUGGAAAAACUAGUUUUGUCAUUUGUGAAAUUUGUGACGGUUAUAUCAAGGACUUGGAACAACUACGUAAUCAUAUGCAAUGGAUUCAUAAAGUUAAAAUACAUCCAAAGAUGAUUUAUAAUCGGCCACCAUUGAACUGCCAAAAAUGUCAAUUUAGAUUCUUUACAGAUCAAGGAUUAGAAAGACAUUUACUUGGAUCUCACGGACUUGUUACAUCAAGUAUGCAAGAAGCUGCUAAUAAAGGAAAAGAUGCCGGACGUUGUCCAGCUUGUGGCAGAGUUUAUCAGUGGAAAUUACUAAACCACGUAGCACGGGAUCACGGAAUGACGUUGAAGCCCGCACACUUAUCGUACAAAUGUACAGUUUGCACUGCGACAUUUGGAAUGUACAAGCAAUUUGAAAAUCACGUUUACUCCGCACAUAGUGUUGUUGCAAAGCGGGUUAUGGACAAGAAAAACACCCCGUCAACGCCGUCAUCUAGAUCCAAUGACUCGUUGCUUAAGCCAUUGAAAAUAAACGACGAAAUAACAAUAAUACCACAGCCAGCAAAGUCCACAAGAUCGAGUAGUUCUUCACAGGGACGAAGCAAAUAACAAUAGUCAACCAAGUGAUAUGUGUACUUUGAUUUUUAUCUUUUUUUCUUUACUUUCGAGAUAUAUUUCGCAGUUGAGGAAUAAAUAAAGAAACCAAGACCGAACAAGAUGUCGAUUUAUAAUUUAAUAAUGCACUUGCAUUGAACAACUUUUUAAUUAAUUUUACAAGAGAGUUUGACAAUUUUCCAAAAAAUUUAUUAAUUAUAAAUUUUUUAUUAAUUCAUCAAACAUACAUUAGUUGACUAAUUAUUCCAUCGAUUAUACUGAUCUAUUUAUUUAAGAAUUUUUAUUAUUGUUAUCGGACAUGCAUAAAAUAAUAUUAGUAACUAUGAUUAUAAUAAUGAUAAUAAUAUUAAAUAAAAAUAAUAAUUCCUAAACAAUAAAUAAUAAUAGACUGUAAAAAAAAAUAAACAUUACAUGGGUGGCCUUCAGUAAUAACUCUUUGGUUAAUCCUGAAGUCGCGUAUUUCCCAAAUCGCCUACGAGUGUAGUUUAAAAUCAGAACAGAAUAAAAAAAUAAAUAAAAAAUAACAAAAAAAAACAUACAAUUAUAUAAUUAAAUUAUAACGAUUAGAUUUCGAUAACAAUCACACACACACAGUAUAUUUGUGUUAUAUGUCGUGUAUAUUUACGCUGAAAAUUUAAUUAUAGUAUAGUUCUUUAUAUAUAUAAAUAAAUUUAUAUAUAUAUGAAUAAAUUUAUAUAUAUAUAUUCUAUAUAAUAAAUAUAUAAAUAUAUUUUAUGAGAAAGAGAUUGACGUAUGCGUUUGUGCUUCUACCCGGGAUCUCUUCAAAUUAUUAACGAAAUUAUUUUAAUCAGUAAAAUUGUUGAUUUUUUUUUAAGAAGAGACAAUUAGGGUGUUUUUUUUUUAAAUAAAAUUACAAUAUUAAGAUUUUUUUUUUUUUUUUUUUUUUUUUUUAUAAUUAAAAGCAAGGUGUUGAAAACGGCGAACAAACAUGAAUUAUUUUAAGCGUGUGUUAAGUAAUUUAUACAUGGUGUAAACGGUCGUCUUAAUAAUUGUCAUUAUCAUCACCAUUUAUCAUGAAUUCAUCCUCGUCAUAAUAAUUAUUAUUAUCAUUGUCAUAAUUUAUCGAUCGUCUUCAUUUAAAGGGUAAUUGGAUAAAAUUAAAAAAAAAUUGACAAAAUAUAAUAAAACAAAAAAAAAGAAACUGUACAUUGUAUCUAUCUAUAAGUUGGACGAAUAUUA
Molecule: unclassified non-coding RNA, 4811 nt
Filed under: Cotesia glomerata
Lineage: Eukaryota; Metazoa; Arthropoda; Insecta; Hymenoptera; Braconidae
Description: mOG interacting and ectopic P-granules protein 1, transcript variant X3
Source: RNAcentral